RNAcentral lists this non-coding RNA (23 nucleotides) under Gallus gallus (chicken). Lineage: Eukaryota; Metazoa; Chordata; Aves; Galliformes; Phasianidae. The record is from miRBase by way of RNAcentral.
UUUGUUGGGAAUGAAUACAUAUU